This is a non-coding RNA of Phrynosoma platyrhinos (Desert horned lizard), 72 nucleotides long. NCBI's taxonomy places the organism in Eukaryota, Metazoa, Chordata, Lepidosauria, Squamata, Phrynosomatidae. The record is from the annotation of a GenBank genome assembly.
GCCAGCAUGGCAUAGUGGUUUGAGUGUCGGACUACAACUCUUGAGGCCAGGAUUCGAUUCCCGGCUCAGCCA